Chelonoidis abingdonii (Abingdon island giant tortoise) is the source of this 114-nucleotide small nucleolar RNA. Ensembl annotates it as small nucleolar RNA, C/D box 89. Its record names the gene SNORD89. Lineage: Eukaryota; Metazoa; Chordata; Testudines; Testudinidae. The record is from Ensembl.
GCUGAGGAAUGAUGACAAUAAAAGGCCGAAUUGCAGUGUCUCCAUAAGCAGUUUGCUCUCUUUGGAAGCACAAUGACAAAGUCUCCUGAAGCGAAUUAUUAGUCUGACCUCAGU